UGUUAAGAAUGAUCGACGGUGUGGUAUGCUUACUUAGAGGAUUAUUCGCGGGACUAACACGUCCAUUCUAUAUUUUUAUGGCAACCAAUACCAAAUUCCUUUUCUUUGUUUCAUGUUUAAUGAAUAACAUUGAGGCCAGAGAAGCAGAGUCUUCUAAAAACCAAAAGUUGCGCGCACUUCGUUAUAGUUAUGUUCAAACACUUUUCUACUCAUAUGUAGUUAAUCUUGGUGGAAGUUUUUUGCUAGCUCUAUAUUUGGGUGACGGGAACUGCAAAAGUAUCUUUUCGUUAGAGGCUCUUUUAUUUCCUUUAAUAACCUGGUUUUUUGCCAGCAGACUAAAUUUUUUUUUCAAGUAUUACUUGUCAAAUGAUUUUUUGCAGGUUAACAGUCUUUAUGUUAUACCUACACUUUUUUUUACCUGCCACAUGUACGGUACGAUAGGGCUUCCAGACUGUACUAAAAUGCACAACUAUUUGAGAGAUUUAAGUUGUUUUGAAUAACAUAGAUAACUAAAAUUACUUAUGGUAGGAUUUUCGAUGGGGCUAAUUAAAUUUUAGAAGUUGUGCGUUUUAGUUCAGUUCGGAUAGUCCUACCCUGCCGUGCUUUUGCUAUUUAACGCAGAUUAUCUUAAAAGCCUUUUAUGAACUUCGACGCGUGGACAGACUUAUUUAUGGCGGAAAAGAAGCAGCUUUGCGGGGUCCACUGCGUUUUGCAACCAUUAAUGCUAUUGUUGGCUCCUUUUUGCAUGCGUAUGGUGGCACUAUACUAGCAGUUACCCUGCUGCGUGUCUUUAGACGUCGAAGUUUUUAUCUUUACGACUUUAAAAGAACGUUUGGCGGUUAUCAAUCCUUUUUUGGUUUAAAGUGGUUUCCUUUAAUUAUCAACGUGUUUGUUUUGGGCUGCCUCGCCGUCUGGACUUAUAUGGCAACUAGCCCAGUCUUAAGUUAUUUUAUCACACCCGAUGAUGCUUUCAGUGUUCGUUUCGUCGUCCCUCAGUUGUACGCGUUUUUAGGCAUUUCGUGCGUUGACUAUAAAAAAAUUUCCGUGCUGGCUCUGCUUUGGAAUUCUUUUGAGCAAAAAAGAUUAGAAUUAAAAGUGAGAGAUACUACGAAGGUUGAUUAAUCCUAUUUGUCUAUCCAAAGAAACUACCUU
RNA transcript from Zophobas morio, 1152 nucleotides. RefSeq lists it as uncharacterized. The transcript is spliced from 7 exons. Lineage: Eukaryota; Metazoa; Arthropoda; Insecta; Coleoptera; Tenebrionidae. The record is from RefSeq and is a predicted model, not a curated record.